UCGUUUAUGGUACACUCUUGCCGUAGAAAGUUUUAAAGCGGUGGCAAUCUCUAUAAAGGUAGGUGAUGCUUAUGAGCAUCUAUUCAAAAUCUAUCGAAAGGAGGUUGCACUUUGUCAGUCUAUGAAGCUUUGACAUUGGUGUGUUCUUUCGCGACUUUAUUAGUUGCAUUAGUAUCGCUCAU
This is a small RNA of Granulicatella elegans ATCC 700633, 182 nucleotides long. It matches the Rfam family "Listeria sRNA rli28". The record is from Rfam. Lineage: Bacteria; Bacillati; Bacillota; Bacilli; Lactobacillales; Carnobacteriaceae.